GAAAUCCUACGGGACGCAGCAGUGGGGAAUAUUGGGCAAUGGGCGCAAGCCUGACCCAGCAACGCCGCGUGAAGGAAGAAGGCUUUCGGGUUGUAAACUUCUUUUAAGUGGGAAGAGUAGAAGACGGAACCUCUUGAAUAAGCCACGGCUAACUACGUGCCAGCAGCCGCGGUAAUACGUAGGUGGCAAGCGCUGUCCGGAUUUACUGGGUGUAAAGGGCGUGUAGCCGGGCCGGCAAGUCAGAUGUGAAAUCCUAAGGCUCAACCUUGGAACUGCAUUUGAAACUGUUGGUCUUGAGUAUCGGA
Molecule: ribosomal RNA, 305 nt
Filed under: uncultured bacterium
Lineage: Bacteria
Description: bacterial SSU rRNA
Rfam family: Bacterial small subunit ribosomal RNA
Source: RNAcentral